Molecule: small nucleolar RNA, 128 nt
Filed under: Rhinolophus ferrumequinum (greater horseshoe bat)
Lineage: Eukaryota; Metazoa; Chordata; Mammalia; Chiroptera; Rhinolophidae
Description: Small nucleolar RNA SNORA22 (ENSRFEG00010015828.1)
Rfam family: Small nucleolar RNA SNORA22
About the family: ACA22 is a member of the H/ACA class of snoRNA that guide the sites of modification of uridines to pseudouridines.
Source: Rfam by way of RNAcentral
UUGCACAGUGAACACCCAAUUGUGCUUCAUAGUUCCCUUGGCUUUGACUCUGUGCUAGAGCAAAGUCUGUUCUCUGCAUUGAAAGGACUGUUUAUCCUUUUAAAUAUAUUCAGAAAGUCAGCACAUUA